Molecule: ribosomal RNA, 497 nt
Filed under: uncultured bacterium
Lineage: Bacteria
Description: partial 16S ribosomal RNA
Rfam family: Bacterial small subunit ribosomal RNA
Source: RNAcentral
GAUGAACGCUGGCGGCGUGCCUAAUACAUGCAAGUCGAGCGAACAGACGAGGAACUUGCUCCUCUGACGUUAGCGGCGGACGGGUGAGUAACACGUGGAGAACCUACCUAUAAGACUGGGAUAACUUCGGGAAACCGGAGCUAAUACCGGAUAAUAUAUUGAACCGCAUGGUUCAAUAGUGAAAGACGGUUUUGCUGUCACUUAUAGUUGGAUCCGCGCCGCAUUAGCUAGUUGGUAAGGUAACGGCUUACCAAGGCGACGGUGCGUAGCCGCCCUGAGAGGGUGAUCGGCCACACUGGACCUGAGACACGGUCCAACCUCCUACGGGAGGCAGCAGUAGGGAAUCUUCCGCAAUGGGCGAAAGCCUGACGGAGAAACGCCGCGUGAGUGAUGAAGGUCUUCGGAUCGUAAACCUCUGUUAUUAGGGAAGACCAAAUGUGUAAGUAACUAUGCACGUCUUGACGGUACCUACUCAGAAAGCCACGGCUAACUACGUG